RNAcentral lists this long non-coding RNA (2815 nucleotides) under Cinara cedri. The record is from RNAcentral. Lineage: Eukaryota; Metazoa; Arthropoda; Insecta; Hemiptera; Aphididae.
CUGUCUGUUGCGCUGCUCGCACGUCCCGCGGAAGCACGCACCUUAAGCUCGCGUAUUUGUAUACGCGUUCUCACGUUCGUCACCUAUAACGUCUUAUCAAUCAGGUAAAAGUAUAUUAAUUCGCAUUAUAAUAUAAAUAAAUAAAUAAAUACAAUAUAUCGGUGGCGUAUUUACGGAGUGAAAUCUAUUUCCUAUUAUUCAUAUUUAUUAGGGAAAUACAUCUCCCCCUCCCCCUUUGAAUCUAUUAAUUACACGACUGCCUAUUUUUCAAUUCAAAUUUCUUUACUUUUUAGUCGGAAAAAUAAAAAAUUUAACGUGUCGGUACCUACCAAUAUUAUAGUCAAUAACGUUAAUUUAUCACAAAAAUCUGAACGUAUACAUUUUUUGUUUAAACGAAACCCAUACAGUCCAUUAAACCAUUAAAAUACGAAUAAGUUAUAUAUAUAAUGUAUAUAUACAGGUAUAUACAGAUUUACUUAUUUAUUCGUUCGAUCGUAGGUACGCCUAAUAACUUAUAUAAUAUUUAUUUAUAUAUUUGAAUAAUUACACGUUGUUUAAUAUUAUUACUUUUUUUUAUAGAAGCCGGUAAAAUUAUUGCUCGAAUCCAGCUGAAAUAAUAUUCGUUUUUUCCGAACAUUUUAAUAUAUUGAUAGGUACGUAUUGCGUGUAUAUAUUAAUAUACCCAUCUAUAUAAUUGUAAUUAAUUUAAUCAAUUAUUAUUAUAAAAAACGAAAACACAAUUUCUAUCAUGGUUCAAAUAACAUUGCAUUUAUUUUAGUGUUUGUUUUACGAAUUUUAGGCAUGAAGGUAUUAUAAUUAAUUAAUUUGACAAAUUAUUUAAAUAAGCAGUAUAGUAUCUAUCAUUAUUAUUAUUAUUAUUAUUAUUAUUGGUCUUGAAAAUACAAAAUACAUCAUUAUAAAACCAUAAGUUUCUUCGCUCCACUCAGAAUCUAAAACACAUGAGUAAAAGAGCUCUGUCACUAGAUCCGAAUUUUCUCCCAGUUAACUUGAUGCCGUUACAAUAUUUUAUUUGUGUUAAUUUUUUGUGAUUCACUUGACACCCAUUAACAACGUCUAUCUCUUCACCCUCCCUUAAUGAUCUACUACCCUUUCCCUCUUUUACGUAAAAAACAGGUAAAGAACCACCUAUCAGGUAAUGAUACUUUCCAAACUUUAAAUCGUUUUAAAUGUAUUAAUUUAUGUUACACGAAAUAAAAUAUGUUGUUUUAUUUGUUUUAUUUUUUAUCGUUGUUUUAUUGUUUUUAUAACAGGACCGCGGUUUCGUGAUGGGUAGAAAAAACCGUCCGAGGAAAAACAAAUUCACGGCGGCCGAAGACAAUAUCAGUUUUUUGCUGUUCAUGUUCUUCUUCGUAUUCAUUUUGGCUUACGUUAUCUUCUAUUUUUUAUACUUCAGAGCUAUUUUAAUAAACCCUGAGAAUUUGAUCAAUAUGUAUUUUAUGUUCGAAUAAUUGCAUAUUUUUUUUGACAUCAUAUGCAAUUAUUGCUGCAUUUAUUUAAACACAAAAAACAACUAUAAUAACUACCUAAAUGUUUAUAUCUUAUACCUAAUACAACUGCUGUAAUGCAAUUUCAUUGUUCAAAACCUAAAUAUUAUUAUUUGAUGUUUGUUUUGUAUACAUUAAGAGAUCCAAAAUACGCGCGCGUAUGUAAAUUAAAUAUUAAUCGAUUUCUCUCUGGUUUGGAAUAAAGAACACAAAAAAAUCUUUAUUAUUUAACGAUUUUUUAAACUUUUUACGUGAACAACCUUAUGUUUUUGACUAAUUAGAAAAAAAUAAUAAUUAAAAAUCCCAACAAAAAUGGCUCAAAACUAUCAAUUUACAAAACGCUCAUUAAAGGUUCCUAAACUAUUAUACAAAUUACUAGGUAUCUUGAAUCGGCAUUUUCUAUACAUAUUUUAUUUUUUCUUGAUAACAUAUUUCAAAUUAAUAGUUCAAUACAAAUAAUAAUGUUAUUACUUUUUUUUGUUGCUGUUUGAACAAAAACAAUUUUACGUUAUCUAAUAUAUGCGUUGUACCGUUUUAUUAAAGCCGAAACUUUAUACGCAUAAAAACACAAACAAAGGAUAGCUGGGGGUGCCAAGUCCCCUCUCAAAAUCAACCGUAAAUCUACCUCUUCGAAAAAUGUAUUUAUAAUACGAUAAUAUAUUAAAUUGACGUUUUUUUAUUUAAUAAAAUAAUUAAGUAAAAACAAAAUUAUUAAAAUAUAGUUUAUGCUCAUAAAUAAAUAAAGUAAAUAAAUAUAUAAAUAAAAAAUGUAUACAUAAAAAUAUAAUAAAUAAAUGAAUCAAUACGUCGCCUGGAGUAAACUGAUGAUGAAUUUUUAAUUCGAAAUCGGUCGUAUAAUCGUAUACACUUAUACAUCUGAUAUCACUUAUCAUAAUACUUCAGGCGACACAUUGAUUCGUUUAUUUUAUUUUUAUUUAUAUAUUUAUUUACUUUGUUUUUUUAUUUGUUUUGCUCAAAAUUAUGACUUACGAGCCGAGACCAUUUUUUUUGUUCAUUAACCAAUUUUUUGGUCGAAAUUUUCACACACAAAGUUCAAACCGCUAUUUGUGUCUAUGCCAUUGUCAAUCCGAGCGUUUGAAAUCGUUAAUAAUAAUAGUUAUUAAUUAUUCUAAGCCCACGUUUUAAAAAAAACUUUUAUAAUUAUAAUUUUUUUUUUUUUUAAUAGGUAAUCAUAACAAUGUAUAAUUAUUCAAAGUAAUAUUAUUUUACAAUUAUUUCUCUGUAGUUACCCCUUUAUACUGUACCUAUGUUUAUCAUCUAUGUAUACUGUCUAUAAUUAUAUAAUAUAG